CCUAGAUAUUAUCUAAGGUGAAACCUGCCCAAUGAUUUUUAAUUUAAAACAAAUAAAAAUUGUUAAAUAAAAUUAAACGGACGCGGUAACCUUGACCGUGAUAAUGUAGCAUAAUCACUCGCCAUUUAAUUAAUGGAUAGUAUGAAUGGUUAAACGAAUAUUCCACUGUCUUAAAAAGAGACCCUUAAAAAUUUAAAUAAUAGUUAAGAUGCUAUUUAAAAUUGUAAGACGAAAAGACCCUAUAGAGCUUAACUAUAUUCUUUUAGUAUAAUAGAAAAUCAUUUCAAAAAAAGAAAGAAUGGUAGUUUAGUUGGGGCGACUGUUUUCUAAAAAUAACGAAAACAAGCAAAGUUAUUAAUAUAUUUAUUGUAUAAUCAAUUUAUUUAACAAUUACAAAAGUAGGCUAUAGUGACCCGUUAUUUCUAAAUAAAAAGAAUAACGAUCAAUAAAUAAAAGCUACCUUAGGGAUAACAGGAUAAUUUCAUUUUAGAGACCUAAUCGAAAAUGAAGUUUGUCACCUCUAUGUUGAAUUAAGAUAUCCUGACGGUGUAGAAGUUGUCAAAGGUAGGUCUGUUCGACCUUUAAAAU
RNAcentral lists this ribosomal RNA (588 nucleotides) under Staurotheca compressa. RNAcentral's name for it is "partial 16S ribosomal RNA". It matches the Rfam family "Bacterial large subunit ribosomal RNA", at positions 1835 to 2594 of the family's 2925-position model. Lineage: Eukaryota; Metazoa; Cnidaria; Hydrozoa; Leptothecata; Sertulariidae. The record is from RNAcentral. RNAcentral also lists the same sequence under 1 other name.